This 468-nucleotide ribosomal RNA is filed under the name uncultured bacterium. RNAcentral's name for it is "partial 16S ribosomal RNA". It matches the Rfam family "Bacterial small subunit ribosomal RNA", at positions 28 to 507 of the family's 1533-position model. The record is from RNAcentral.
GACGAACGCUGGCGGCGUGCUUAACACAUGCAAGUCGAACGGAAAGGCCCGGUUUUUGUGGGGUGCUCGAGUGGCGAACGGGGGAGUAACACGCGAGUGAACUGCCCUUGAGUUUGGGGUACCUUCAGGAAACUGGGGCUAAUAUCGGAUAUAAGCUCUUGCUGCAUGAGGUGGGUGGGUAAGAUUCGGCAUUUGGGGAUGGACUCGGGGCAUAUCAGCUUGUUGGUGAGGUGGUGGGUUACCACUGCUUUGAGGGGUGGCCGGCCUGGGAGGGUGACCGGCCACAUUGGGACUGAGAUACGACCCAGAGUCCUGCGGGGGGCAGCAGUGGGGAAUUUAGCGCGAUGGGCGGAAGCCUGAUGCAGCAACGCCGCGUGCGGGAUGACGGCCUUCGGGUUGUAACCCGCUUUCGCCUGUGACGAAGAGUGAGUGACGGUAAUGGGUAAAGAAGCACCGGCUAACUACGUG